AUGGAAUUGAGUUUGCCUCAUACGCUUCAUCUUUUUAAUUUCUUUCGUGAGAAUGAUGGAAAGGAAAAAUGUGCUCAAGUGCUAGAACAAGAAGUCUAUAAAAUGUUUGGCACUAAAUCUUUGAAUGAUGAGCAUGAUUGCAAUGUUAUUAGUACGAAUUCCUUAAAUAUCCAUGAUGCUAAUGAUAUGCAAAGCCACAAGCUUGGGGAAGCUAUGUUUGAUGAAGAUGAUAUUUUUUCCCCAAGUUCUGAUGAGCAAAUUUAUUAUGAUGAAAGCAUGCCUCCUAUUUAUGAUGAUUAUUGUGAUGACACAUAUGCUAUAAAGAAUAAAUAUUACCAUGAAACUUGUCAUCUUGAUUUUAAUUUUCAAUUGGAUUAUGCUUCACAUGAUAGUUAUUUUGUUGAGUUUGCUCCCACUACGAUUCAUGAGAAGAAUUUUGCUUAUGUGGAGAGUAAUAAAAUUUCUAUGCUUGUAGAUCAUGAAAAGAAUGCUUUAUGUGCUGGUUAUAGUGUUGAAUUCAUUCAUGAUGCUACUGAAAAUUAUUAUGAGGGAGGAACAUAUACUUGUAGGAAUUGCAAUAAUAUCAAGUUUCCUCUCUAUGGGCUUAAAGUUUUGAAGUUAUGCUUGUUUUGCCUUCCUAUGCUAGUUGAUUAUUGUUCCCAUAAGUUGUUUGCUCACAAAAUUCCUAUGCAUAGGAAGUGGGUUAGGCUUAAAUGUGCUAGUCAUAUGCUUCAUGAUGCUCCCGUUAUGUUUCAAUUCUUAUCUUUUAUGUGA
Molecule: ribosomal RNA, 774 nt
Filed under: Triticum aestivum (bread wheat)
Lineage: Eukaryota; Viridiplantae; Streptophyta; Magnoliopsida; Poales; Poaceae
Description: partial small subunit ribosomal RNA
Source: RNAcentral